RNAcentral lists this ribosomal RNA (784 nucleotides) under Xylographa parallela. RNAcentral describes it as "SSU rRNA". It matches the Rfam family "Eukaryotic small subunit ribosomal RNA", at positions 72 to 865 of the family's 1831-position model. The record is from RNAcentral. Lineage: Eukaryota; Fungi; Ascomycota; Lecanoromycetes; Baeomycetales; Xylographaceae.
AUCUAUACGGUGAACUGCGAAUGGCUCAUUAAAUCAGUUAUCGUUUAUUUGAUAGUACCUCACUACUUGGAUAACCGUGGUAAUUCUAGAGCUAAUACAUGCUAAAAACCUCGACUUCGGAAGGGGUGUAUUUAUUAGAUAAAAAACCAAUGCCCUUCGGGGCUCCUUGGUGAUUCAUAAUAACUUAACGAAUCGCAUGGCCUUGCGCCGGCGAUGGUUCAUUCAAAUUUCUGCCCUAUCAACUUUCGAUGGUAGGAUAGUGGCCUACCAUGGUGGCAACGGGUAACGGGGAAUUAGGGUUCUAUUCCGGAGAGGGAGCCUGAGAAACGGCUACCACAUCCAAGGAAGGCAGCAGGCGCGCAAAUUACCCAAUCCCGACACGGGGAGGUAGUGACAAUAAAUACUGAUACAGGGCUCUUUUGGGUCUUGUAAUUGGAAUGAGUACAAUUUAAAUCCCUUAACGAGGAACAAUUGGAGGGCAAGUCUGGUGCCAGCAGCCGCGGUAAUUCCAGCUCCAAUAGCGUAUAUUAAAGUUGUUGCAGUUAAAAAGCUCGUAGUUGAACCUUGGGCUUGGCUGUCCGGUCCGCCUCACCGCGUGCACUGGUUCGGCCGAGCCUUUCCUUCUGGGGAGCCGCAUGCCCUUCACUGGGUGUGUCGGGGAACCAGGACUUUUACUUUGAAAAAAUUAGAGUGUUCAAAGCAGGCCUAUGCUCGAAUACAUUAGCAUGGAAUAAUAGAAUAGGACGUUGUGGUUCUAUUUUGUUGGUUUCUAGGACCGCCGUAU